AGCGCCAGGGAAUUACGAGCAAUGCUUAAAACCCAAAGGAUUUGACGGUAUCCCAUCCACCUAGAGGAGCCUGUUCUAUAAUCGAUAACCCCCGCUAUACCCAACCACUCCUAGCCUAUCAGCCUGUAUACCUCCGUCGAAAGCCUACCAUGUGAAUGUUCUUAGUAAGCUUAAUGUCCCCGUCAAAACGUCGGGUCAAGGUGCAGCUCAUGGAGUGGAAAGAAAUGGGCUACAAUUUCUAAUCUAGAACACACGAAAAACUAGGUGAAACCCUAGUCAUGAAGGCGGAUUUAGCAGUAAAAAGAAAAUAGAGUGUUCUUUUUAACCUGGCCCUGGAAUGUGUACACACCGCCCGUCACCCUCUUCGACUGUAUUUAACACUGUUUUAUAACUUUCCCCCCCACAUUCUAGAAGAGGCAAGUCGUAACAUGGUAAGUGUACUGGAAAGUGCACUUGGUUAACAA
This 464-nucleotide ribosomal RNA is filed under the name Sanguirana luzonensis (Luzon frog). RNAcentral describes it as "partial 12S ribosomal RNA". It matches the Rfam family "Bacterial small subunit ribosomal RNA", at positions 868 to 1533 of the family's 1533-position model. Lineage: Eukaryota; Metazoa; Chordata; Amphibia; Anura; Ranidae. The record is from RNAcentral.